Molecule: unclassified non-coding RNA, 244 nt
Filed under: Hevea brasiliensis (rubber tree)
Lineage: Eukaryota; Viridiplantae; Streptophyta; Magnoliopsida; Malpighiales; Euphorbiaceae
Source: RNAcentral
AGAGAUUGCAAUGAGUGGGUUCACGGAGGUACUUACGUGGAUCCUAUGUUCUUAUAAAGAGAACUUCGCCAUGCUAAAGCGUGAAGAUGAUAAAUCUACCGCUGUUGUCAUUGGAAAUCCUCGUUCAACUGAUUUUGAGGUUGUACGAACCAGUCUUAUGCCUGGUCUUUUGAAAAUUGUUGGACACAAUAAGGAUCACCCAAAGCCCAUAAAGAUAUUUGAAGUUGGUGAUGUAUCAUUGCUG